GGUGUGGUCGGUUUCUGGCAGGAUUUUUUAUUCUGCUGGUCCCUGUGGCAGGGGCGCGCCAUCAAUCACAACGGUGCCUGCGGGCAUAAAUGGAGA
This is a small RNA of Rahnella aquatilis, 96 nucleotides long. It matches the Rfam family "KDPG-aldolase RNA". NCBI's taxonomy places the organism in Bacteria, Pseudomonadati, Pseudomonadota, Gammaproteobacteria, Enterobacterales, Yersiniaceae. The record is from Rfam.